UGCAAGUCGAACGAUGAAGCCGCUUCGGUGGUGGAUUAGUGGCGAACGGGUGAGUAACACGUGGGCAAUCUGCCCUUCACUCUGGGACAAGCCCUGGAAACGGGGUCUAAUACCGGAUAAUACUCCUGCCUGCAUGGGUGGGGGUUGAAAGCUCCGGCGGUGAAGGAUGAGCCCGCGGCCUAUCAGCUUGUUGGUGGGGUAAUGGCCUACCAAGGCGACGACGGGUAGCCGGCCUGAGAGGGCGACCGGCCACACUGGGACUGAGACACGGCCCAGACUCCUACGGGAGGCAGCAGUGGGGAAUAUUGCACAAUGGGCGAAAGCCUGAUGCAGCGACGCCGCGUGAGGGAUGACGGCCUUCGGGUUGUAAACCUCUUUCAGCAGGGAAGAAGCGCAAGUGACGGUACCUGCAGAAGAAGCGCCGGCUAACUACGUGCCAGCAGCCGCGGUAAUACGUAGGGCGCAAGCGUUGUCCGGAAUUAUUGGGCGUAAAGAGCUCGUAGGCGGCUUGUCACGUCGGAUGUGAAAGCCCGGGGCUUAACCCCGGGUCUGCAUUCGAUACGGGCUAGCUAGAGUGUGGUAGGGGAGAUCGGAAUUCCUGGUGUAGCGGUGAAAUGCGCAGAUAUCAGGAGGAACACCGGUGGCGAAGGCGGAUCUCUGGGCCAUUACUGACGCUGAGGAGCGAAAGCGUGGGGAGCGAACAGGAUUAGAUACCCUGGUAGUCCACGCCGUAAACGUUGGGAACUA
RNAcentral lists this ribosomal RNA (747 nucleotides) under Kitasatospora albolonga. RNAcentral's name for it is "bacterial SSU rRNA". It matches the Rfam family "Bacterial small subunit ribosomal RNA", at positions 56 to 818 of the family's 1533-position model. The record is from RNAcentral. Lineage: Bacteria; Bacillati; Actinomycetota; Actinomycetes; Kitasatosporales; Streptomycetaceae.